This is a long non-coding RNA of Hippocampus comes (tiger tail seahorse), 365 nucleotides long. RefSeq lists it as uncharacterized. The record is from RefSeq and is a predicted model, not a curated record. Lineage: Eukaryota; Metazoa; Chordata; Actinopteri; Syngnathiformes; Syngnathidae. The transcript is spliced from 2 exons.
CAAAAUCAGGAAACUAAUUCCCCCUUUUCUCCCCUCUCCCUUCCCACCUCCUCCCUCUUCUUUCUUUAUCACCCACCCAUUCUUCCCUGUACACAUUUGCUCCCCACUUUCCUGCCCUUCCCGCCCUCUGCCAGGGAGAGAUGAUAGACCGCAUAGAGUACAAUGUGGAGCACUCGGUAGACUAUGUGGAGAGGGCCGUUUCAGACACAAAGAAGGCAGUUAAAUACCAGAGUAAAGCUCGGAGGAAGAAAAUAAUCAUUAUUAUAUGCUGUGUGAUUCUGGGAAUUAUCAUUGCGUCAGCUGUGGGAGGUACCCUGGCAUAAACCUGUGCCGCCACCACACACACACACACACACACACACACA